UGGGAUGACGUCAAAUCAUCAUGCCCCUUAUGUUCUGGGCUACACACGUGCUACAAUGGCCGGUACAGACGGACGCAAAGCCGCGAGGUGGAGCAAAUCCUAAAAAAGCCGGUCUCAGUUCGGAUUGCAGGCUGCAAUUCGCCUGCAUGAAGUCGGAAUCGCUAGUAAUCGCAGGUCAGCAUACUGCGGUGAAUACGUUCCCGGGCCUU
Molecule: ribosomal RNA, 209 nt
Filed under: uncultured Cryptanaerobacter sp.
Lineage: Bacteria; Bacillati; Bacillota; Clostridia; Eubacteriales; Desulfotomaculaceae
Description: partial 16S ribosomal RNA
Rfam family: Bacterial small subunit ribosomal RNA
Source: RNAcentral